RNAcentral lists this long non-coding RNA (746 nucleotides) under Homo sapiens (human). Its description in RNAcentral is "HSALNT0241165". The stretch from base 1 to 187 matches the Rfam family "Small nucleolar RNA U3", at positions 26 to 219 of the family's 219-position model. The record is from RNAcentral. Lineage: Eukaryota; Metazoa; Chordata; Mammalia; Primates; Hominidae.
CUAUAGUUUAUUACCAGAAAAGUUUCUCAGAAUGUGUAGAGCACUGGAAACCAUGAGGAAGAGGCAUAGCGUUCUCUCUUGAGCAUCAAGUUGGCUGUUGGUGUUGCUUUGCUGCAAACGCCAUUUGUCAUUGUCUUCCUUGUCUUCCUUUAGGAGAGUAAGAGGGAGAGGACACAGUCUGGGUAGUUUCCCUGAAAAAAAGAAAAAAGAAAAGAAAACUACAAUGAGAUACCACCUCACACUUGUUCACACUUGUUGGGAUGGUUACCAUCAAACAAGCAAACAGGAAAUAACAAGUGUUGGCAAGGAUGUAGAGAAAUUACACCCUUGUGGCCGGGCGUGGUGGCUCACGCCUGUAAUCCCAGCACUUUGGGAGGUCGAGCUGGGCAGAUCACGAGGUCAGGAGAUCGAGACCAUCCUGGCUAACACAGUGAAACCCUGUCUCUACUAAAAAUACAAGAAAAUAGCCAGGCAUGGUGGCGGGUGCCUCUAGUCCCAGCUACUCAGGAGGCUGAGGCAGGAGAAUGGUGUGAACCCGGGAGGCGGAGCUUGCAGUGAGCUGAGAUCGCGCCACUGCACUGCAGCCUGGGAGACAGCGAGACUCCGUCUCAAAAAAAAAAAAAAAAAAAGAGAAAUUGGACCCUUGUGCACUGUUGGCAGGAAUGUAAAAGGGUGCAGCCAUAUGGAAAACAGGAUGGCAGCUUCUCAAAAAAUUAAAAACAAAAUUGCCAUGUAAUCCAGCAAUU